UCAAACUUGGUCAUUUAGAGGAAGUAAAAGUCGUAACAAGGUUUCCGUAGGUGAACCUGCGGAAGGAUCAUUAUUGAAUAAACUGGAAAUGGAUUGUUGCUGGCUUUUCGGAGCAUGUGCACGUUCAUUCCAUUGUUUUACAACCUCCUGUGCACCUUCUGUAGAAUCUUGUACCUCGAAGGAUUUUAUUCUUCGGUCUUGGUGACUGCCAAUGUUUGAAAGAAAGCAUUUGCCUGUCUUGCCUGUCCUUUCAAGGUUCUAUGUCUUUACAUUAAUACUCUUGCAUGUAUCAGAAUGUCGUUUAUGAGGCCAUUUUAGUGCCUUUAAAAUACAAAUAUAACUUUCAACAACGGAUCUCUUGGCUCUCGCAUCGAUGAAGAACGCAGC
Molecule: unclassified non-coding RNA, 387 nt
Filed under: uncultured fungus
Lineage: Eukaryota; Fungi
Description: partial contains small subunit ribosomal RNA, internal transcribed spacer 1, and 5.8S ribosomal RNA
Rfam family: Eukaryotic small subunit ribosomal RNA (bases 1-73)
Source: RNAcentral